This is a long non-coding RNA of Homo sapiens (human), 1792 nucleotides long. The record is from Ensembl. NCBI's taxonomy places the organism in Eukaryota, Metazoa, Chordata, Mammalia, Primates, Hominidae.
AUGUGUAUAUACAUAUGAGCGUAUAUGUACACAUGCACAUAUAUACAUAUGUUGUUUAGGACAAACUUUGGCACAUGGGAAAUGCUGUUCACUAGAUAUUUCCAUCUCUCCCCCCUUCAGACACAUGGAAGAACUACACUUCUCUGCACUUCCAUUUAGAGGUGAUCAUGGGACAGCCUUCAGUGAAUAAAAUAUUAACCAAAUAUAUGGACUGCUAGCCAGACUAAUAAUAAAGAAGAAAGGAGAGAAGAAUCAAAUAGACGCAGUAAAAAAUGAUGAAGGGGAUAUCACCACUGAUCCCACAGAAAUACAAACUACCAUCAGAGAAUACUACAAACACCUCUGUGCAAAUAAACUAGAAAAUCUAGAAGAAAUGGAUAAAUUCCUGGACACAUACACCCUUCCAAGACUAAACCAGGAAGAAGUUGAAUCCCUGAAGAGACCAAUAACAAGUUUUGAAAUUGAGGCAGUAAUUAAUAGCCUACCAACCAAAAAAAGCCCAGGACCAGACAGGUUCACAGCCGAAUUCUACCAGAGGUACAAAGAGGAGCUGGUACCAUUUCUUCUGAAACUAUUCCAGACAAUGGAAAAAGAGGGACUCCUCUCUAACUAUUUCAUGAGGCCAGCAUCAUCCUGAUACCAAAACCUGGCAGAGACACAACAACAAAAAAAGAAAAUUUUAGACCAAUAUUCCUGAUGAACAUAAAUGCGAAAAUCCUCAAUAAAAUACUGGCAAUCUGAAUUCAGCAGCACAUCAAAAAGCUUAUCUACCGUGAUCAAGUAGGCUUCAUCACUGGGAUGCAAGGCUGGUUCAACAUAUGGAAAUCAAUAAACGUAAUCGAUCACAUAAACAGAACCAAUGACAAAAACUACAUGAUUAUCUCAAUAGAUUCAGAAAAGGCACUUGAUAAAGUAAAAUUCAACAACUCUUCAUGCUAAAUCUCUCAACAAACUAGGUAUUGAUGGAUUGUAUCUCAAAAUAAUAAAAGCUAUUUAUGACAAACCCACAGCCGAUAUCACACGGAAUGGGCAAAAGCUGGAAGCAGUCCCUUUGAAAACCGGCACAAGACAAGGCUGUGCCCUCUCUCAUCGCUCCUAUUCAGCAUAGUAUUGGAAGUUCUGGCCAGGGCAAUCAGGCAAGAGAAAGAAAUAAAGGGUAUUCAAAUAGGAAAAGAGGAAGUCAAAUUGUUUCUGUUUGCAGAUGAAAUGAUCGUGUAUUUAGAAAACCCCAUCGUCUCAGCCCAUAAUAUCUUUAAGCUGAUAAGCAACUUCAGCAAAGUCUUAGGAUACAAAAUCAAUGUGCAAAAAUCACAAACAUUCCUAUAUGCCAAUAAUAGACAAACAGAGAGCCAAAUCAUGAGUGAAUUCCCAGUCACAAUUGCUACAAAGAGAAUAAAAUGCCUAGGAAUACAACUUACAAGGGAUGUGAAGGACCUCUUCAAGGAGAACUACAAACCACUGCUCAAGGAAAUAAGAGAGGACAUAAACCAAUGGAAAAACAUUCCAUGCUUAUAGGUAGGAAGAAUCAAUAUCAUAAAAAUGGCCACACUGUCCAAAGUAAUUUAUAGAUUCGGUGCUAUCCCCAUCAAUCUACCAUUGACUUUCCUCAUGGAAUUAGAAAAAACUACUUUAAAUUCCAUAGGGAACCAAAAAAGAGCCCAUAUAGCCAAGACCAUCCUAAGCAAAAACAACAAAGCUGGAGGCAUCAUGCUACCUGACUUCAAACUAUUCUAUAACGCUAUCGUAACCAGAACAGCAUGGUACUGUUACCAAAACCGACAUAUAGACCAAU